UAGUUGCAGAUAACAGGUUUUGUUCAGCGGAAGAAAACUGGUUGUUUCUGGGACUUAGUGGUGUGUUGUGAUCAGGCAGCGGCCAGACAACCGUAGGGAUGGUAUCCACAGACGAUGGGUUUCUUUCUUCUCACUCGUCUACUGAUCCCAUCGCACAUUU
Molecule: small nucleolar RNA, 160 nt
Organism: Prosopis cineraria
Lineage: Eukaryota; Viridiplantae; Streptophyta; Magnoliopsida; Fabales; Fabaceae
Product: small nucleolar RNA snoR143
Exons: 1
Source: RefSeq, a predicted model, not a curated record